AGGAGAACGUAUUCUUCGGAAUGCUAGUAAACUGGCGAACGGGUGAGUAACACGUAGGUAACCUACCCUAGAGACUGGGACAACUUCGGGAAACCGGAGCUAAUACCGGAUAAUGCAGCGGACCCUUUGGGGUACAGUUGUUAAAGCGGGCUUCGGCUCGCACUUUAGGAUGGGCCUGCGUCCGAUUAGCUUGUUGGUGGGGUAAUAGCCUACCAAGGCGAUGAUCGGUAGCUGGUCUGAGAGGAUGAUCAGCCACACUGGGAUUGAGAUACGGCCCAGACCUCUACGGGGGGCAGCAGUAGGGAAUUUUGCGCAAUGGGCGAAAGCCUGACGCAGCAACGCCGCGUGAUCGAUGAAGCUUCUAGGAGUGUAAAGAUCUGUCGUGAGAGAAGAAAAGUUCAAAGGUAAAUAAUUUUUGUUCUUGACGGUAUCUCACAAGAAAGCACCGGCUAACUUCGUGCCAGCAGCCGUGGUAAUACGAGGGGUGCUAGCGUUGUCCGGAAUCAUUGGGCGUAAAGGGUCCGUAGGCGGUUUGAUAAGUCAAUUGUUAAAUACAUCGGCUUAACCGGUGGAAUGCAGUUGAAACUGUCAGAAUAGAGUUUAGGAGAGGAAAGUGGAAUUUCUGGUGUAGCGGUGACAUGCGUAGAUAUCAGAAGGAACACCAAUGGCGAAGGCAACUUUCUGGCCUGAAACUGACGCUGAGGGACGAAAGCGUGGGGAGCGAACAGGAUUAGAUACCCUGGUAGUCCACGCCGUAAACGAUGAGUACUUGUUGUCGGGAGAUUCGACCCUCUCGGUAGCGGAGCUAACGCGUUAAGUACUCCGCCUGGGUACUAC
RNAcentral lists this ribosomal RNA (837 nucleotides) under uncultured marine bacterium. Its description in RNAcentral is "bacterial SSU rRNA". It matches the Rfam family "Bacterial small subunit ribosomal RNA", at positions 66 to 883 of the family's 1533-position model. The record is from RNAcentral.